Molecule: ribosomal RNA, 497 nt
Filed under: uncultured bacterium
Lineage: Bacteria
Description: partial 16S ribosomal RNA
Rfam family: Bacterial small subunit ribosomal RNA
Source: RNAcentral
GACGAACGCUGGCGGCGUGCCUAAUACAUGCCAGUUGAGCGCUGAAGGUUGGUACUUGUACCAACUGGAUGAGCAGCGAACGGGUGAGUAACGCGUGGGGAAUCUGCCUUUGAGCGGGGGACAACAUUUGGAAACGAAUGCUAAUACCGCAUAAAAACUUUAAACACAAGUUUUAAGUUUGAAAGAUGCAAUUGCAUCACUCAAAGAUGAUCCCGCGUUGUAUUAGCUAGUUGGUGAGGUAAAGGCGCACCAAGGCGAUGAUACAUAGCCGACCUGAGAGGGUGAUCGGCCACAUUGGGACUGAGACACGGCCCAAACUCCUACGGGAGGCAGCAGUAGGGAAUCUUCGGCAAUGGACGAAAGUCUGACCGAGCAACGCCGCGUGAGUGAAGAAGGUUUUCGGAUCGUAAAACUCUGUUGGUAGAGAAGAACGUUGGUGAGAGUGGAAAGCUCAUCAAGUGACGGUAACUACCCAGAAAGGGACGGCUAACUACGUG